RNA transcript from Syzygium oleosum, 2366 nucleotides. RefSeq lists it as uncharacterized. The transcript is spliced from 8 exons. The record is from RefSeq and is a predicted model, not a curated record. Lineage: Eukaryota; Viridiplantae; Streptophyta; Magnoliopsida; Myrtales; Myrtaceae.
CAACUCACCGGGUUAAACCUCUCGACGACGAGGGUUUUUGCGGUGCGGAGAGACGUUGCCGCUUGCCAGUUGCCGCCAUUAGCGCGAAGCUCGAGCCUGGUCCGAGCAUUCGAUCCUCGCCGUCGCAAUGGAGGGGCUGAAGGUGUCGGAUGCGGACUUGGUGGUGUUCAUCCACCCCUCGAGGAGCAAACGAUCGUCUCAGGCGAUCCUCCGCGAGCUCAGCUCCCACCUCUUCCAGUUUAGUGAGAUUUUUGAUGGAGUACUAUUGGCUUAUGACGUCGAUAUUGUCGAUACAAAUGCAAAGAUUGUCCAUGAUAUCCUACCAUACUCUGGCAUGAGACUCAAGGCAAAGCUGCUGCUUUUUUCUCCCAAGCCCAAUAUGUUGCUGGAGGGGAAGGUUGUAAAACUUACACCGGAAUCCAUUCAUGUUAUUGUUCUUGGAUUUGCAUCUGCUGUAAUAAUUGAUGAAGACAUUCGUGAAGAAUUUGAAUAUAGAACUAAGCACGGUAAGGAAGUAUAUCACAGCAAAGCUCACAGGCGACACGUUAUAAAGGUUGGAACCAUGAUACGCUUUUUAGUUAAGAGUUUGGAUAAGGAAAUACUGCACAUAUGUGGUUCCCUAAAACCAACCAACACAGGAAGCAUUCAUUGGUUGGAUAAAAUUUUUGACGAAAUAUCCCUCAUAGAUAGGAGUGGUACGAAAAGGGGGAGCGAGAAUGAAAUGAAGAUGCAGGAGCAUGCUGUGAGAGGAGGGGAUGAAAUUUCCUCAUGCAAUGACCAAAUUAAAAAGUCCAAGAAACGAAGAUUAAGAGAAGAGUCUUAAACGUGGGUUUUUGUCAAGUGCGGGUUGUUUCAUUUGCUUACAGAUAUUCUCUUAAGUAUGGUGCUUAGGAAUCAUUAGAAGUGAUUCUGAAAGAAAUUUCUUGUUUUGAGGACCUGUUAAAAACAAAGUCAGGCUCAUUCUAGGACUCAUUGUCCUGCGUCAGAAAGAAGAUAAGACAGUGAUUUUCUGGAGGUCUCAAGAAGUAAUUCCAAUUUCUGUUGUGACCAAAUAAUUCUGUUUCUUUCUUGGCUAAUUUAUUUGGACUGCAAUGAUAGUUAUUAUGCAAUUAAGAUAGAUAUGUGUCGUUUGAAAUAUGAAGUAAUAGCUGAUGUUAUUUCUUGGGCUGUGGAAAGAGUGUAGUGUAGAACAAACUUUAUGCUUGCUGGGUUUUAUAAGCUUCGAAUGCAAUACUGGCAACGGAUCUUUAGUAUUUUUUGUAACCGACAUGUUCCCUAGAAACACUUUUUAGCCCUGGGUUAUUUCAAUGUGUGUUUAUUGAUGCACGAGAUGGUCCUGUGAUCUAAAAGCUGGAUAUUUUAGAGCUUGAUGGAUGAAUAAUUCAUGCCAGCUUAUAUAAGGUGUGAAAAGUAAAUUUUGAAAGCUCUCGCAGUUUGAUGCUAUAAAAGUUUUUUACUUUGGCAGCAUGUAGUUUAUUAGAAAGUUAGGGGUCUCCUUCAUUUAAAAGAGGAUAGAUAGGACGACAAAAGUGAAGUUUAUUAUUAUGAUAUGGUGAUGGGAAAACGAAGCCAAUCUCUGGCCAUUAUUCCUUCAGUCUUUCCCCAAUGAUGGGAAGGGGCUGAUUUAGUGCACUGUAGUUCGGGAGAAGAGGCACUGUCUUUGAGUUAUGGUCAUUGGUGUUCUAACUCUCUGUAGUUUGGGAGGAGAGGCACUCUCUGAGUUAUGGUCAUUGGCGUUCUAACUCUCUCCUUUAUUAGUAAAAAAUCAUGUUGAUGUCAUGUAUGUGCAAUAUGCAAAUCAAAUCAGCAGUCAGUAACUAGUUUAUAAACAUACUGGGUUGUACGAUGUAAUUUUAAAUGCGGGCAUAAAUGUGUGCCAUUUUCCGUAUUUUUCUCAAUGACUUUCUGCUAAAAUUCUAGUUUGUAGCCAUUGUCCUUUUGGACUAAAGAAGACCACCUUUGGUUUGGCCAUAUUGUUGUCCUCUCUAAGAGUUCAUUCUUCCAUCUCACGGAAAGUUUGUCUUGAUGUCAGAAAUAAUAUGUCUAUAAGACAGCAUCUGAGGUUGAAGAUUGUGUAUCAGGAAGUGCUUAAAUCUAAUAGUGGCUAUCUUGCACUGUUGAAGGACAUGCCCAUUGACAUGGAUUUCACAAAAUUGGUAAAACUUGAUGGCAAACUGCAGGCUGGGAGGAUGUUGAGGACAUGGGUUCCUUUUCUGAUUAGAUGGUUUAAGUUCCCCCCAAUUGAACAAUGAAUCUGAGGGAUGGAUCUUUCUAUGGGUUUAUCUAUGGUACCAUAUUUUGAAUUUCAUUCUACUGUCGUUAUGAAUUUUAUGUGAUUCUAUGGCAACGCUUGUUAUUCUUUGUCA